CUAAAAUAGCUCAACAGCAUAUCUCUUAGAAGGAAAUGUGUAGUGUCACCUCAAGAGAUAUUUUGGUCAAAGUAGCUAAUGAAUCAUGAAUACAGGCAAAGAGAAAAAUAAACUAUGAGCUGAUCUCCACCACUGUAUUUUCUCAGAGGCUUUUCAAACAUUCUUUAUAACAGCACACAAUGAAACACUUCUCAAGAAGCAUGAGACAAUUUUCUGAGAUAUAUAAAGAUCCUUCCCUUAAAAAAGUGAUGAAGUAGGGGGAUUUGGCUUUUGGCUUUUGCCCUUUUACUAUAGAUUUUUUAUGUCCUCCAGUCACUCCUUUUUAGUGUUCAUCUUGAGGAAACAUGAACCCAGGGCUUGUUGCCUCCAGUGAUUGUGGUUUGUCAUCUGAUCUCUCAUUGAUGAGAGAUGUGUCUGAGUGUGGUGACCAGUAUCACACCCCAGCACUAAAAGGAAGCAAACUGUAUGAUUGACUAAGUAUCUUAAUCUUCAUGUGCCUUUCUGAAUCUGUAAAAAUUGGUUAAUAAGAGAAUUCUCAAUUUAUAAAUACUUAAUGGCAUUAAAUAAAAUCAUAUUUACUAAGCAUUUAGAGCAGUACCCACAAAAUUUUGCUCUAUGCAACACUAUACAUAAAAAAUAUUAUUAUGCUCAUGGUGAGUCAGAAAGCUUUCAAGGCCCCUUUUAAAAUUCAGAUCUUACCUUUUAGAUAAUUGGCCUGGAAUUAUAUUGCAUCUGCUCCUUUAGAUAGUAUAAUAAAGAGAAG
This 763-nucleotide long non-coding RNA is filed under the name Homo sapiens (human). RNAcentral describes it as "HSALNT0110665". The record is from RNAcentral. Lineage: Eukaryota; Metazoa; Chordata; Mammalia; Primates; Hominidae.